RNAcentral lists this unclassified non-coding RNA (360 nucleotides) under uncultured Gammaproteobacteria bacterium. Its description in RNAcentral is "contains 16S-23S intergenic spacer region". The record is from RNAcentral. Lineage: Bacteria; Pseudomonadati; Pseudomonadota; Gammaproteobacteria.
UCCGGUUUGUCACCGGCAGUCUCCCUAGAGUUCCCAUCCGAAAUGCUGGCAACUAGGGACAAGGGCUGCGCUCGUUGCGGGACUUAACCCAACAUCUCACGACACGAGCUGACGACAGCCAUGCAGCACCUGUAUCCCGGUUCCCGAAGGCACCAAUCCAUCUCUGGAAAGUUCCGAGUAUGUCAAGGGCAGGUAAGGUUCUUCGCGUUGCAUCGAAUUAAACCACAUGCUCCACCGCUUGUGCGGGUCCCCGUCAAUUCCUUUGAGUUUUACCGUUGCCAGCAAGUAGUGUUGGGGACUCGCGGGAGACUGCCGGGGUUAACUCGGAGGAAGGUGGGGAUGACGUAACUUACAGCGUAC